This 255-nucleotide ribosomal RNA is filed under the name uncultured bacterium. RNAcentral's name for it is "partial 16S ribosomal RNA". It matches the Rfam family "Bacterial small subunit ribosomal RNA", at positions 74 to 334 of the family's 1533-position model. The record is from RNAcentral.
CAAACCAAAGCUGGGCGACCGGCGCACGGGUGAGUAACACGUAUCCAACCUGCCUCAUACUCGGGGAUAGCCUUUCGAAAGAAAGAUUAAUAUCCGAUAGCAUAUAUUUCCCGCAUGGGUUUUAUAUUAAAGAAAUUCGGUAUGAGAUGGGGAUGCGUUCCAUUAGUUUGUUGGGGGGUAACGGCCCACCAAGACUACGAUGGGUAGGGGUUCUGAGAGGAAGGUCCCCCACAUUGGAACUGAGACACGGUCCAA